AGGCCCGGAGAGAGAAGCAGGGUCUGAUCCGCAGCCUCCAUGGCAACUGCUGAUCAGCCCUUGCCUCCCUCUCUCUCCG
Non-coding RNA from Myotis brandtii (Brandt's bat), 79 nucleotides. Lineage: Eukaryota; Metazoa; Chordata; Mammalia; Chiroptera; Vespertilionidae. The record is from Rfam.